GAUGAACGCUAGCUACAGGCUUAACACAUGCAAGUCGAGGGGAAACGACAUCGAAAGCUUGCUUUUGAUGGGCGUCGACCGGCGCACGGGUGAGUAACGCGUAUCCAACCUGCCCAUCACUUGGGAAUAACCUUGCGAAAGUAAGACUAAUACCCAAUGACAUCCCACGAAGACAUCUGAAUGGGAUUAAAGAUUUAUCGGUGAUGGAUGGGGAUGCGUCUGAUUAGCUUGUUGGCGGGGUAACGGCCCACCAAGGCAACGAUCAGUAGGGGUUCUGAGAGGAAGGUCCCCCACAUUGGAACUGAGACACGGUCCAAACUCCUACGGGAGGCAGCAGUGAGGAAUAGUGGUCAAUGGGCGAGUGCCUGAACCAGCCAAGUAGCGUGCAGGAUGACGGCCCUAUGGGUUGUAAACUGCUUUUAUAAGGGAAUAAAGUGGGUCUCGUGAGACUUUUUGCAUGUACCUUAUGAAUAAGGACCGGCUAAUUCCGUG
This 492-nucleotide ribosomal RNA is filed under the name uncultured bacterium. RNAcentral's name for it is "partial 16S ribosomal RNA". It matches the Rfam family "Bacterial small subunit ribosomal RNA", at positions 28 to 507 of the family's 1533-position model. The record is from RNAcentral.